This 254-nucleotide ribosomal RNA is filed under the name uncultured bacterium. RNAcentral's name for it is "partial 16S ribosomal RNA". It matches the Rfam family "Bacterial small subunit ribosomal RNA", at positions 524 to 776 of the family's 1533-position model. The record is from RNAcentral.
UACGAAGGGUGCAAACGUUGCUCGGAAUUAUUGGGCGUAAAGCGCACGUAGGCGGCAUUGCAAGUCGGAUGUGAAAUCCCUCGGCUUAACCAAGGAAGUGCAUCCGAAACUGCAGUGCUUGAGUACUUAAGAGGAUCGCGGAAUUCCCGGUGUAGAGGUGAAAUUCGUAGAUAUCGGGAGGAACACCAGUGGCGAAGGCGGCGAUCUGGGAAGAUACUGACGCUGAGGUGCGAAAAGCGUGGGGAGCAAACAGG